AUUCAAUAGAGUCCGAGAGAU
This is a non-coding RNA of Caenorhabditis elegans, 21 nucleotides long. Lineage: Eukaryota; Metazoa; Nematoda; Chromadorea; Rhabditida; Rhabditidae. The record is from Ensembl.